GUCGAGAUGAAAAGCACAUUAUCCUGGUCCUGGAGUUUAUAAUCCAGCUCACCCUGCAGGCCAAGAAAAAAAAUGAAAAAUUGUUUAAAUGUCAUUUCCAAAUACAAGCUGCAAAGAGAAAACAGCUCAUAAAAAGAUGAUCAAAUAAAGGGGACGCAGGAGCAAUCCCAAAGCUCAUUUGAAUGAAAAGGCUCCAUUCCAAGGAUGCUCAGGAUGACUGCAUUUCCGUGCCAUGCAGAAAAGCCAGGGGACCUGGCACACGCUUCAGCUCACAAAGAUCCGUGACGAAUGUUAAACACCCCCAGCGCCACCCCGCAGUCAGGGAUGGCUUGCACAGCUCACUCUGCUCCAUUUCUCUUGCCUUCCUUUUUUUUUUUCUACCCCCCCUCCACAAGACUGGCCCCAUUUCGAUAAUAAAAAUACAUUUCCCAGAAGAA
Long non-coding RNA from Passer domesticus (house sparrow), 437 nucleotides. RefSeq lists it as uncharacterized. The record is from RefSeq and is a predicted model, not a curated record. NCBI's taxonomy places the organism in Eukaryota, Metazoa, Chordata, Aves, Passeriformes, Passeridae. The transcript is spliced from 3 exons.